ACGCUCUCCUGCUAACCAGGUCACGUCUGGAUUCCUCAACGCUCAUCUCCGCCUGGCCUUCGGUUUCCGUACAAAAUGGUGUCUCACAGCUCUGACUCUCACCUUACAUUGCUUCCAGCCCAUCCUCUACCACUGAUAAAUGAAACUUAAAUAUGGGAGGGUUGUGCCGAGAAAAACUACGGAGGAUAAUGAAAGUCGAGAGACCCUGAUUUUCUUCCAGGCAUAGACCCUUUCCUUCAAGGGCAAGCUCCAGUAUGGGGGCUCAGCACACCCUGCUCCAGAGGCACAGAGAGAAAACAUCCUACAUCAGCCACUCCUGCCCAAUAGUACGGAGGGGAGCAGAAGCUUCAGAGCCCACUCCUGCAGGGCUCAUGAUACAUGGUAAACCUGGCUGCAGCCCACCUCUGAAACAGCCACAGCACCUGCCAUGAGAGAAGGAACCCUGGAAUCUACAAACCAAUUUUCCAGGCCUCUCUCCCUUCCCUUUGCUACUGCUCCCUUUCUAUGCCUUAAAAA
Molecule: long non-coding RNA, 516 nt
Filed under: Bos taurus (domestic cattle)
Lineage: Eukaryota; Metazoa; Chordata; Mammalia; Artiodactyla; Bovidae
Description: long non-coding RNA NONBTAT023223
Source: RNAcentral